Non-coding RNA from Nicotiana tabacum (common tobacco), 834 nucleotides. Lineage: Eukaryota; Viridiplantae; Streptophyta; Magnoliopsida; Solanales; Solanaceae. The record is from RefSeq and is a predicted model, not a curated record.
UAUAAAGCAAGGAAAAGAGUUCUCAGGAGACUUGGAUACAUAAAAAAGGAAAGUGCUAGAGUGAAGAUUGCCUGUGAAAUAAGCAGUGCAGAUGAAUUGACCUUGACUGAAUUGAUGUUGAAUGGGACCUUCGGCAAAAUUGAAGUGGAGGAGCUUGUAUCUCUUCUCUCUUGUUUUGUGUGGCAAGAAAAGCUUCAGGAUGCCCCAAAGCCCCGGGAAGAGCUUGAGUUGCUCUUUGCACAGUACAGGAUAUAGCUCGGAAGGUUGCAAAAGUUCAGCUCGAUAGCAAGGUCCAAAUAGAUGUUGAGAACUUUGUGAGUUCAUUCCGACCUGAUAUCAUGGAGGCUGUCUAUGCCUGGGCUGGAGGAUCUAAGUUUUAUGAGAUUAUGGAAAUUACUCAGGUGUUUGAGGGCAGUUUAAUCAGGGCUAUCAGGAGACUGGAGGAAGUUCUUCAGCAGCUAAUAGAAGCUGCGAAAGCCAUUGGGGAUGUUGGGCUUGAGGCAAAAUUCAAAGAGGCCGUUGCCAAGAUCAAGAGGGACAUUGUCUUUGCGGCAUCUCUGUAUUUGUAGAUAUAAGAUUGAGGCAUUUCUGUCAAUGGUCCAUAAACAGAGGUCAGUUAAGAUGGAGGUUAUGCCACCAAUUAUGUGACUCUCAAGUGUAGGGGUGUUCAUGGUUCUAUUUUCUGUAAUUCGAAACUAAGCCUGAUGUGUAGUUCGUUAGAUAUGCAAAUUAAACAAUUAUGCUUUUUUUCCUGCUGGGGUACAGCAUGUACAGUGUGGAAUUAUUACUUUUUGGUGUGGCGUGACUUUUCAAUUAACUAGAUAAUUAACAAUU